GACUUAAAAAAUCCGUCGACUUUAAAAAUCGUGAGGGUUCAAGUCCCUCUAUCCCCA
This 57-nucleotide transfer RNA is filed under the name Galianthe brasiliensis. Its description in RNAcentral is "partial tRNA-Leu". Lineage: Eukaryota; Viridiplantae; Streptophyta; Magnoliopsida; Gentianales; Rubiaceae. RNAcentral also lists the same sequence under 8 other names. The record is from RNAcentral.